RNAcentral lists this ribosomal RNA (253 nucleotides) under uncultured microorganism. Its description in RNAcentral is "partial 16S ribosomal RNA". It matches the Rfam family "Bacterial small subunit ribosomal RNA", at positions 524 to 776 of the family's 1533-position model. The record is from RNAcentral.
UACGGAGGAUGCGAGCGUUAUCCGGAUUUACUGGGGUUAAAGGGUGCGCAGGCGGUUGUUUAAGUCAGGGGUGAAAGCCCUAUGCUCAACAUAGGGAUUGCCUUUGAUACUGAACGGCUAGAGUGAAGAUGGAGUGGGUGGAAUGUGUUGUGUAGCGGUGAAAUGCAUAGAUAUAACACAGAACACCGAUCGCGAAGGCAGCCCCCUGGGCCUGUACUGACGCUCAUGCACGAAAGCGUGGGGAGCAAACAGG